CUGCUUCGCUGACGAGUGGCGGACGGGUGAGUAAUGUCUGGGAAACUGCCUGAUGGAGGGGGAUAACUACUGGAAACGGUGGCUAAUACCGCAUAACGUCGCAAGACCAAAGAGGGGGACCUUCGGGCCUCUUGCCAUCAGAUGUGCCCAGAUGGGAUUAGCUUGUUGGUGAGGUAACGGCUCACCAAGGCGACGAUCCCUAGCUGGUCUGAGAGGAUGACCAGCCACACUGGAACUGAGACACGGUCCAGACUCCUACGGGAGGCAGCAGUGGGGAAUAUUGCACAAUGGGCGCAAGCCUGAUGCAGCCAUGCCGCGUGUAUGAAGAAGGCCUUCGGGUUGUAAAGUACUUUCAGCGGGGAGGAAGGUGUUGUGGUUAAUAACCGCAGCAAUUGACGUUACCCGCAGAAGAAGCACCGGCUAACUCCGUGCCAGCAGCCGCGGUAAUACGGAAGGUGCAAGCGUUAAUCGGAAUUACUGGGCGUAAAGCGCACGCAGGCGGUCUGUCAAGUCGGAUGUGAAAUCCCCGGGCUCAACCUGGGAACUGCAUUCGAAACUGGCAGGCUUGAGUCUUGUAGAGGGGGGUAGAAUUCCAGGUGUAGCGGUGAAAUGCGUAGAGAUCUGGAGGAAUACCGGUGGCGAAGGCGGCCCCCUGGACAAAGACUGACGCUCAGGUG
RNAcentral lists this ribosomal RNA (677 nucleotides) under uncultured bacterium. RNAcentral's name for it is "bacterial SSU rRNA". It matches the Rfam family "Bacterial small subunit ribosomal RNA", at positions 80 to 753 of the family's 1533-position model. The record is from RNAcentral.